This 540-nucleotide long non-coding RNA is filed under the name Sus scrofa (pig). RNAcentral's name for it is "lncRNA (ENSSSCG00070002377.1)". The record is from RNAcentral. Lineage: Eukaryota; Metazoa; Chordata; Mammalia; Artiodactyla; Suidae.
UCAGGCAGAAGCAGCUCUGGGUGAAACUGGGACACGGGGAAAUUUCUCUCUGACGUUUUCCCACCUCUUCCAUCUGGAUCCUUCUUCCUGUCCCCCCCACCAACCUCCUCCACUUCCAAUCCUGCAUUACUUCCAUGGGUGCGGGUUCCAGGAGAAAAGGGACGAUGAAUUAGAGGCACCAGCAAGGAAGGUCACUUGCAAGUUACCAAGACAAGAUCCUGAAGAGUGGCAUCUGACCCAGAGAGUUGGAGUACUGCUAACCAGACUCUCUCAGCACCCUGUGCCAGACCGGCAGCACGUCACACAAGUGACAGUGAAAGAAGUGACAUAGUCUCUGCUACUGCCCACAGUACGACUGGCCAGAGGUCGCUGUCCCUCACCUCACUGCCGCAGAAGCCCUUGCACAGCCCGUGGAGCCCCCUUUUCCUCUACCUCCCGCUUCCUUACAAACUCUUUCUAUAUUUCCAACUUGUCAUCAUUGUCUUCUCCUUUCCACCCGGAACAUUUCUUUUGAAAUAAAAGGGGAGAAAUAUCCCUUCA